Molecule: ribosomal RNA, 754 nt
Filed under: uncultured bacterium
Lineage: Bacteria
Description: bacterial SSU rRNA
Rfam family: Bacterial small subunit ribosomal RNA
Source: RNAcentral
UGGCGGCGUGCUUAACACAUGCAAGUCGAACGAACCUUCGGGUUAGUGGCGGACGGGUGAGUAACGCGUGAGAAUCUGCCCUCAGGAGGGGGAUAACAGUUGGAAACGACUGCUAAUACCCCAUAUGCCGAGAGGUGAAACGAAUUUUGCCUGGGGAUGAGCUCGCGUCUGAUUAGCUUGUUGGUGGGGUAAAAGCCUACCAAGGCUUCGAUCAGUAGCUGGUCUGAGAGGACGAUCAGCCACACUGGGACUGAGAUACGGCCCAGACUCCUACGGGAGGCAGCAGUGGGGAAUUUUCCGCAAUGGGCGCAAGCCUGACGGAGCAACGCCGCGUGAGGGAUGAAGGCCUUUGGGCUGUAAACCUCUUUUCUCAAGGAAGAAGAUCUGACGGCACUUGAGGAAUAAGCCACGGCUAAUUCCGUGCCAGCAGCCGCGGUAAUACGGGAGUGGCAAGCGUUAUCCGGAAUUAUUGGGCGUAAAGCGUCCGCAGGCGGCCGUUUAAGUCUGUUGUUAAAUCGUGGAGCUCAACUCCAUCACGGCAAUGGAAACUGUUCGGCUUGAGUAUGGUAGGGGCAGAGGGAAUUUCCGGUGUAGCGGUGAAAUGCGUAGAUAUCGGGAAGAACACCAGUGGCAAAAGCGCUCUGCUGGGCCAUUACUGACGCUCAUGGACGAAAGCCAGGGGAGCGAAAGGGAUUAGAUACCCCUGUAGUCCUGGCCGUAAACGAUGAACACUAGAUGUUGGGGGAAUCGACCC